UUGAUCCCAGCCGAUACACAUGCAACUCGAUCAGGAAUUAUAAUACUUGCUUAGUACUCGUAUAUGGCUAAUCGGGUGACGGAUGAGUUAGAUGACAUGCCACCUAACCCGGGGGAUGACAGAUUAGAUAAGUGAAUGCUGAUACCUCAUAGCUGCUAUUAGCAUGGUUAGAUUCUGUACGCUUAAUAGGAGCUAUCCACUUCGGGAGGGGCCUGCGUCCCAUCAGCUAGUUGGUAAGGUAACGGCUUACCAAGGCGAUAAUGGGUAGGUGAUCUGAGAGGAUGAUCCCCCACACUGGCACUGACACACGGGCCAGACUCCUACGGGAGGCAGCAGUAAGGAAUAUUGCACAAUGGGCGAAAGCCUGAUGCAGCAACGCCGCGUGGGCGAAGAAGGCCUG
This 400-nucleotide ribosomal RNA is filed under the name uncultured bacterium. RNAcentral's name for it is "bacterial SSU rRNA". It matches the Rfam family "Bacterial small subunit ribosomal RNA", at positions 36 to 418 of the family's 1533-position model. The record is from RNAcentral.